AUGCAUUAAUUUCGAGUAUAAACACUUUAAGAACAACCGAGAUUGGUAUAAAAAGCUAUGAUAAACUUUGUGAAAAAAAAAAAAGGCAAAUAAUGUUAGUGGUUCAUGUUGCAAAUCCCUUGAAGAAAGUGACGUAAACCAAACUACACAAAAACCUCCUCCAAUACAAGAUUUAUUAACCAUGGGAAAAAGCAAGACUCCCAAAAAUCUCUCAAUCUUUUGAAGAGAAAAACGAUUCUACAUAAAAGGAACCCCCAAAAAUCAGUUAGAUGCAGCACGAGUGAUGUAAUGGACAACUUGGUUCUAUUUUCGAUUACAAUAAGAAAAAGAAAUCGAGAAGGAAACAAAGAGAACCAUACACGGCUUCCACUUCAUCAAUUGAAUUUUUCAACUCGGUAAAAUAUUCUUCCUCGUGAUUCAGACACUUAACAACUCGGUACGAGAGGCAUCAAAUAUACUGUUGCAAGACAGCGAUCUGUUCCAAGAGGUGUCCGUAUUCAAUUUCUAAAAGUUUCGACAAGGAGGGGUCCAGACACCAUGACUCGCUCUGAGUUCUCAAACAAAGGAGGAUACUUCUUGAAGCUCUCAUCAAGGCCACCAAUGUUGACAUAGGUGUUAGAUUCUCCAAAAAAAAUUGGGCGAUUGAAGGCCUCUCCUCACAAAUUUUGAUAGUAUUUCUAUAACUCGAGAGGAUGGAUAGGAAAUUAAAUAGGGUUAUUGUCCUUAAUUGAAAUCCAAUUGGGGUUGUUGGGCAGAUAUAAAUAGGAUGAAGUUUGGUGAAGGACACCCAACCCCACAAAUCUCUGCCCUUUUCCUUUUCAAAUUGAUCUCUCUACCUUUCUCAACUAAGACACUUUAAAUAAUGAAUCCUAACUUUUUGUUUUUCUCUUUCUUUUUCUCUUUCACCUCUCAACAAAAAAAAAAAACAAAAAAUGCCCAACUUCCCCUCUCCUCCUUUCUCUUUUUCUAAUCCUCCCUUCCAAAUUCAACUUUUAAGUUAGGGUUCCAUUCGAAUGAUGUAUUUGAAGAGUAGUUGUCUCACAUUUAAAAAAAAAAAGAGAAGAAGAUAUAAUGUUUGUUGAGAGAUUGCAGUGUUCUUCUAAUUAUUAAGGUCUACGAGGAUUAUUCUAUGUAAUUGUCACAAUCUUUUACAUAGUCAAGUUUUUCGUGUCCUUCGUUUUUUUCUCUAAUUUAGUGCUUUUUCUCGCUCGUUAA
Molecule: long non-coding RNA, 1215 nt
Organism: Cucumis sativus (cucumber)
Lineage: Eukaryota; Viridiplantae; Streptophyta; Magnoliopsida; Cucurbitales; Cucurbitaceae
Exons: 2
Source: RefSeq, a predicted model, not a curated record